This 220-nucleotide ribosomal RNA is filed under the name Campeiostachys nutans. Its description in RNAcentral is "Elymus nutans partial small subunit ribosomal RNA". It matches the Rfam family "Eukaryotic small subunit ribosomal RNA", at positions 665 to 864 of the family's 1831-position model. Lineage: Eukaryota; Viridiplantae; Streptophyta; Magnoliopsida; Poales; Poaceae. The record is from RNAcentral.
GGAUUGACACAUCGGUCGUGCCUUAAGGGGUAUGAACUGGUGUAGUCAAUUUCUCACCUUCUGGAGAACCACGAUGCCCUUAAUUUGGUGUCGUGGGGAAUCAGGACUGUUACUUUGAAAAAAUUAGAGUGUUUAAAGCAGGCGCACGCUUGAAUACAUUAGCAUGGAAUAAUGAAAUAGGACGUUUGAUUCUAUUUUGUUGGUUUCUAGGAUCGACGUA